GGGAUUGCCUUAGUAACUGCGAGUGAAGCGGCAAGAGCUCAAAUUUGAAAUCUGACGUUUUUGACGUUCGAAUUGUAAUUUGGAGGGAUAUCUUCGGAGCUGGCGCUGUCCUAAGUUCUUUGGAACCAGACAUCAUAGAGGGUGAGAAUCCCGUGCCUGAAUGGCUGUCCUGCUCCAUGUGAAGUGUCUCCGACGAGUCGAGUUGUUUGGGAAUGCAGCUCAAAAUGGGUGGUAAAUUUCAUCUAAAGCUAAAUAUUGGCGAGAGACCGAUAGCGCACAAGUAGAGUGAUCGAAAGAUGAAAAGCACUUUGAAAAGAGAGUUAAACAGUACGUGAAAUUGUUGAAAGGGAAGCGCUUGAGACUAGAUUCGGCCGGCGGUCAUCAGCUACGUUUUUGCGUGGUGCACUUGCCGUCGGUUGAGCCAGCAUCGGUUUCGAUGGUGGGAUAAAGGUUUCAGGAAUGUGGCUCCUCAAUUUUGAGGAGUGUUAUAGCCUGGAGCGCAAUGCCGCCUGUCGGGACCGAGGACCGCGCUUUUGCUAGGAUGCUGGCUAAAAGGUCUUAAGCGGCCCGUCUUGAAACACGGACCAAGGAGUCUAACAUCUAUGCGAGUGUUCGGGUCGGAAAACCCUUGCGCGUAAUGAAAGUGAACGGAGGUGGGAACCCCUUUGGGGUGCACCAUCGACCGAUCCCGAUGUUUACGGAAGGAUUUGAGUACGAGCAUA
RNAcentral lists this ribosomal RNA (722 nucleotides) under Otidea olivaceobrunnea. RNAcentral describes it as "eukaryotic LSU rRNA". It matches the Rfam family "Eukaryotic large subunit ribosomal RNA", at positions 71 to 804 of the family's 3401-position model. Lineage: Eukaryota; Fungi; Ascomycota; Pezizomycetes; Pezizales; Pyronemataceae. The record is from RNAcentral.